UACGUAGGGGGCAAGCGUUGUCCGGAUUUAUUGGGCGUAAAGAGCUCGUAGGUGGUUCGGUAAGUCGGAUGUGAAAUCUCCAGGCUCAACCUGGAGGGGUCAUUCGAUACUGCCGUGACUAGAGUUCGGUAGGGGAGUCUGGAAUUCCUGGUGUAGCGGUGAAAUGCGCAGAUAUCAGGAGGAACACCGGUGGCGAAGGCGGGACUCUGGGCCGAUACUGACGCUGAGGAGCGAAAGCGUGGGGAGCAAACAGG
RNAcentral lists this ribosomal RNA (254 nucleotides) under uncultured bacterium. RNAcentral's name for it is "partial 16S ribosomal RNA". It matches the Rfam family "Bacterial small subunit ribosomal RNA", at positions 524 to 776 of the family's 1533-position model. The record is from RNAcentral.